This 1963-nucleotide long non-coding RNA is filed under the name Meleagris gallopavo (turkey). RNAcentral's name for it is "lncRNA (ENSMGAG00000018244.1)". The record is from RNAcentral. Lineage: Eukaryota; Metazoa; Chordata; Aves; Galliformes; Phasianidae.
GAAAGAGCACUAAGGAUCUGCAAGCAGGAGGACAGCAGGUGGAUGAUAAAGCCAAGCAAAACAACGGUCAUCCCUCAGAAAGUACUCUGUCCUUGGCCGCUGUCCUACCAGAGAUGGGUAGAGAUGUUGGAGAUGUCUCAGCUCCAAACCAGGCAUUACCUGAAAAUAAUGCUGAAGGAAAUUUGCCGCCAGGGUCUAGGACAGAAGGCCCUUUGGUAAACUUAGUAGAAACUAAAGGAGAUGGGCAGGGUGAUGGGAUGGCAAGCCUCCAGCCAGGCCUGAGUAGUGGUGCCAUUUCCUUCUCUGCUGCUAACAUAGGUGCCAAUAUAACAUUUGUCAGCAGCAGCUCUGGUGCUGCUCUAAGAGAGCAGCUCAAUGGGUCCACCUCUGAAGAGCAGGACAACAAAUGCAGCUUGGAGAGCUGCAGGCCAGCUCAGGACAUCCAGCUGAGCCAGAAUGGAGGCAAUCCCAGCACUCCAUCCACUCCCUGUGAUGGUGCACAUCAGGCUGAGUUGAAAGAGAUGGCAAAGGAAAAUGAAGACCCUGGUACAGACUCACUGUUGGACACUUCCCAAGAGAAAUCCUUUUCGGAGGAGCCAGCCACCGACUCUUCUUGUUCGGCAACGCUGCCUCCAGGGGAAACGCACACUGACAGGGAAAAGCAGAGGACAUCUGGGAAACGGAGAAAGAAGAAGAGGCACAGCAAAAGCUACUCAGAGAUUGAGACUGAUUCUGGAGAUUAUAAAACAAAAAAAGGUUGUGUGGUACAAUGAGGCAUCACAGCAAGGCAGAAGAAAUAACGGAGGCCCGGAGACAUGCUAACUCAUCCCCAGAGCACUGCCAGCCUCUCGGAAGCCAGGCUCUGCAUCACCAGAAGGCCUCCUGCCCUGACUGGACAUCGCACUCCUCCUGAUGCAGCCUUCCACCCUUUGCCCAAAGGCCCAAUGAGCCGCCAUGGAGGCUUCAGCACCCUCAGCCCGUGCCUUACGUGACCUGCGUUGUGCCCCGGGGGCGUCUGCGAGGUCAUGGUCCAGAUUGAUGCAGCAGCAGGGAAGGCACAGGCCUCUCAGCCUCCAUCCUAAUGCCCAACAUCCCUACCUGCUCUUAAGCCAAACUUCUCUUAACACAAUGGCAGAAUGCAGCCCAGCAUUCAACCCUCGGGAAAUUUUAAAAGUAGCAGUGCCUCAAGUAAAUUGAGGGUAUGAAUCCAGCAGUGGCCAUACCCUCACAGGGGGAAGCGUUAUCCCUCAUUUUAUUGCCCACAUUCAGUUUAUAUUCGGCGAGGACCAAGAUCCAAAAUGCAUUUGCGUUCUCAACCAUUUAAAGCAAGCAAAAUCAAUUACAAAAACAACAACAAAAGUAUGCAUUUUGGUCAACAUAUGGCUGUGUAAACAGCAUCUGGCUCCCACAUAACACUUAUGUGCAAUUAAGUUGAAGCAUGGCUGUGGUCCUGCAGUAAUCUCACAUGCACAGCUACAUACAUAAAAUUUGGAGAAGUAGGGCCCCAGUUCCUGUCAAAAGAAAAAAGUUUUCCAGGGUACUGUGUUAAACACAUUUUCAGCUCCUCCUUUAGUAAGUCUCCAGGUUUAAAUCCCAUUCUCAGCUGCCUGCACUCUUAAGUCUUUGCAUUCAAGCUGCAGAACAUGUAUUUUCUCAUUACUUUUGCUUUGAAACUGGGAAUGUGCAGUAUUGUGUUUUUAAAGAGUCAGAGCUUUAUGUCUCAAGUUUUGUAAUAACGUUGUACCAUAGUUUUGUACAUAGCUGUCAAUUUAAAAUGACCUAUGCUUGUUGAAUCUAUGGUGUGAUACUGUGCUGAAACAGGAAUCAAGCAGAAGAGAUUGUUAAAUUUAAGAACUAUGCCUUUAUAUGGUAACUAGACUAAAUGUUCAGGAUAAACGUUAUUUUGCUUUGCUCAAUAGGAAUAGCAACAUCCUUGCAACAUCGAAGACUUUACUGGACCAAG